Molecule: ribosomal RNA, 497 nt
Filed under: uncultured bacterium
Lineage: Bacteria
Description: partial 16S ribosomal RNA
Rfam family: Bacterial small subunit ribosomal RNA
Source: RNAcentral
GACGAACGCUGGCGGCGUGCCUAAUACAUGCAAGUUGAGCGCUGAAGGUUGGUACUUGUACCAACUGGAUGAGCAGCGAACGGGUGAGUAACGCGUGGGGAAUCUGCCUUUGAGCGGGGGACAACAUUUGGAAACGAAUGCUAAUACCGCAUAAAAACUUUAAACACAAGUUUUAAGUUUGAAAGAUGCAAUUGCAUCACUCAAAGAUGAUCCCGCGUUGUAUUAGCUAGUUGGUGAGGUAAAGGCUCACCAAGGCGAUGAUACAUAGCCGACCUGAGAGGGUGAUCGGCAAAAUUGGGAAUGAGACAGGGCCCAAAAUCCUACGGGAGGCAGCAGUAGGGAAUCAUCGGCAAUGGACGAAAGUCUGACCGAGCAAAGCCGCGUGAGUGAAGAAGGGUUUCGGAUCGGAAAACUCUGUUGGUAGAGAAGAACGUAGGUGAGAGUGGAAAGCUCAUAAAGUGACGGUAACUAACCAGAAAGGGACGGCUAACUACGUG